This 1850-nucleotide long non-coding RNA is filed under the name Ananas comosus (pineapple). Its description in RNAcentral is "long non-coding RNA (ACOM_LNC033771)". The record is from RNAcentral. Lineage: Eukaryota; Viridiplantae; Streptophyta; Magnoliopsida; Poales; Bromeliaceae.
AAUUAGUAAUUGCUGAAUAUAUUUAAGUUGAGUCAUUAAUAAUAAAAAAUGGAAUAAUUACCAAUAUAUCUCUAAAAAUUUCUGAAAUAUCUCAUUUAUUCUUUUUUUUUUUCUUUCCAAUAUAUCCCUUAUAUAUUACUCCGUUAUUUCAAAAUAUCUCUACAGUUACCAUCUGUUAAUUAACUUGAGUUAAAAGUAAGUUAAAUAUCUAUCAGAGUUUAAAAAUAAUUAAAAUAUCUCUUUUGCCCUUAACUUAAGGGUAAAUAAGAAAUAUUGAUGAUGGUAGAAGGGUGUAUUUGAAAAGACCAAAAAUCAAAAUACCUUUUGUACUCAUAACUUAAGGGCGAAUAAAAAAAGUCGGUGAUGGUAGAAGAGUAUAUUUGAAAAGACAAAAUAGUAAUUUUAUAAAGAUAACAUCUGAAUUUAAUUUGAUGGAUAUAUUUAAAAUAGGUUGAACGUAAGAAAAGUAUUUCAAUAUUAGUCUUUCAAGAACGGUAAAUCAGAAAGUCGGAAACUUUUUAAGAAUAUAUAAAUAAUUGCCCCUAAAAAAAUAUUUAUAUGUUCUCAAUAAAAUAAUUAAAAUCAAAUCUAAAAGCCUCAUUCCAGUUUUUUUUUUUUUUUUUUUUUCAAUGCGAAUUUUAUUAUCCUAUUGGACAGUAGGGGUGGAAACGAGCCGAGCUCGAGCGAGCUUACCACAGCUCAAGCUUGGCUUGAAAUUAAUUUCGAGCCUAAAUUUAGGCUCAAGUUCGGCUUGAAAUUAAUUUGAGCCGAGCUCGAGUGAGCCUAAUUUUGAGUCGAGCGAGCUCGAGUCCUAAACGAGCUGCUUGAAAUUCUUAACAUCGUGCAAUCUAUAGUUUAAUUUUCAUAAAAUAUCAUAUAAAAUUCGAUACAAAAAAUGUCUAAUAGCUCAACAUACAAAAUGAAUGCACGAAAUACGAUAUUAUAAUAUUUAAAAAAAUUAGGAAAAAUAAUUUUAUGAGCGAGUGAAAAAGAGAAAGAGAGAGCAAUUAAAGUAGGAUAUUGCUGGUUUGGUUUUAUGGGCCCAAUAAUCUAAAUUCUAUAUACAUAUAAUUAAAAUACAUAAUAUAAAUUUAUAUAAUUAAAAUAUAUAUUAUAUUUAAUUAUAUAGAGAGAGAGUUCGGCUACUAUACUCUAUUAGCAUAGACUCAUUUAUACUCAUAAGUUUUUUAUCGUUAGAUCAACCAACCACCCACUCAGACCACUAUUAUUCUAACUGCACAUCCAAUGGCGAAAAAUUUAUAAGUAUAAAGGGGUCUAUACUCAUAAGAAUAUAGUAGCCCUAGCCUAUAUACAUAUAUAUAUAUAUAGAGAGAGAGAGAGUUUUGCUAGAAUACUGUCAGUAGUAAACGAGCCGUUUUACUACCUAUUUAUUUUCGAUGAUAAAGCUUCCAAAUUGACAAUCGGCUCUAUUCAACAUGAUCUAUACCACUUAAAGUGUUUAGAAAUCAAAUUUCAAAUCUUUUCGACAUCAUUUGCCUAAUGAUCAAAGGGUUUCAAAAUUUGUAAUUUUAAUAGUUGAUAAGAGGCAUUUUCUCGUUUAACGGUGUAAAGAUAUCCAAAUCAAUUGGAUUUUUGUUAGAAAAUUCUUUAAACUAUUUAAAACAAGAUCUAUACUCUUGAUCUUGAUUACAAGACUCCUAUCAUCAUUUUUUAAAGAAUAUUCAUUUUCAGCCAUUCAUUUUUCUGUUCACUUGAUGGAUAAAAGAACAAUAUCGAAAGUGCAUGAAAUUUGAUUUCUAAAUAGUUUAAAUGGUUUAGAUCAUAUUUAACGGAGCCGAUCGUCAAUUUGGAAGCUCUAUCAUCGAAAACAAAUUUGGUAGUAAAACGGC